UGGAUGCGAUGCUCUUAUAUAUUUGGAAACUCAAUGAUUAUCUAUUUAUAUCAGGGAUUAAGGUUAACAACUAAUAGGGGUGUUUCUGGAUUUGCCCUCCAUUCCAAUGAGAUAGAAAAGGAGAAUCACAGUCAUCCACAGUGUGUAUCCUCUACCAUUUAUUUGGUGGGAUUCCACCCUCUAGAUCCCCCCGGCAUUGGGGUGCUGCCCCUC
Molecule: long non-coding RNA, 213 nt
Filed under: Elaeis guineensis (African oil palm)
Lineage: Eukaryota; Viridiplantae; Streptophyta; Magnoliopsida; Arecales; Arecaceae
Description: long non-coding RNA (EGUI_LNC031072)
Source: RNAcentral